This 467-nucleotide ribosomal RNA is filed under the name uncultured bacterium. RNAcentral's name for it is "partial 16S ribosomal RNA". It matches the Rfam family "Bacterial small subunit ribosomal RNA", at positions 29 to 507 of the family's 1533-position model. The record is from RNAcentral.
ACGAACGCUGGCGGCGUGCUUAACACAUGCAAGUCGAACGGAAAGGCCCUGCUUUUGUGGGGUGCUCGAGUGGCGAACGGGUGAGUAACACGUGAGUAACCUGCCCUUGACUUUGGGAUAACUUCAGGAAACUGGGGCUAAUACCGGAUAUGAGCUCCUGCUGCAUGGUGGGGGUUGGAAAGUUUCGGCGGUUGGGGAUGGACUCGCGGCUUAUCAGCUUGUUGGUGGGGUAGUGGCUUACCAAGGCUUUGACGGGUAGCCGGCCUGAGAGGGUGACCGGCCACAUUGGGACUGAGAUACGGCCCAGACUGCAAAGGGAGGCAGCAGUGGGGAAUAUUGCACAAUGGGCGGAAGCCUGAUGAAGCAACGCCGCGAGCGGGAAGACGGCCUUCGGGUUGUAAACCGCUUUCGCCUGUGACGAAGCGUGAGUGACGGUAAUGGGUAAAGAAGCACCGGCUAACUACGUG